AACGAACGCUGGCGGCAGGCCUAACACAUGCAAGUCGAGCGCCCCGCAAGGGGAGCGGCGGACGGGUGAGUAACGCGUGGGAACGUACCCUUUGCUACGGAAUAGCCUCGGGAAACUGGGAGUAAUACCGUAUGUGCCCUUCGGGGAAGGAUUUAUCGGCAAAGGAUCGGCCCGCGUUGGAUUAGGUAGUUGGUGGGGUAAUGGCCUACCAAGCCGACGAUCCAUAGCUGGUUUGAGAGGAUGAUCAGCCACACUGGGACUGAGACACGGCCCAGACUCCUACGGGAGGCAGCAGUGGGGAAUCUUAGACAAUGGGCGCAAGCCUGAUCUAGCCAUGCCGCGUGAGCGAUGAAGGCCUUAGGGUUGUAAAGCUCUUUCAGUGGGGAAGAUAAUGACUGUACCCACAGAAGAAGCCCCGGCUAACUCCGUG
RNAcentral lists this ribosomal RNA (430 nucleotides) under uncultured bacterium. RNAcentral's name for it is "bacterial SSU rRNA". It matches the Rfam family "Bacterial small subunit ribosomal RNA", at positions 29 to 507 of the family's 1533-position model. The record is from RNAcentral.